RNAcentral lists this ribosomal RNA (565 nucleotides) under uncultured Glomeromycotina. Its description in RNAcentral is "SSU rRNA". It matches the Rfam family "Eukaryotic small subunit ribosomal RNA", at positions 548 to 1114 of the family's 1831-position model. Lineage: Eukaryota; Fungi; Glomeromycota. The record is from RNAcentral.
UUGGAGGGCAAGUCUGGUGCCAGCAGCCGCGGUAAUUCCAGCUCCAAUAGCGUAUAUUAAAGUCGUUGCAGCUAAAAAGCUCGUAGUUGAAUUUCGGGGUUAGUAGGUUGGUCAUGCCACUGGUAUGUACUGGUCUCACUGAUUCCUCCUUCCUGAUGAGACGUAAUGCCAUUAAUUUGGUGUUGCGAGGAAUCUGGACUGUUACUUUGAAAAAAUUAGAGUGUUUAAAGCAGGCUAACGCUUGAAUACAUUAGCAUGGAAUAAUGAAAUAGGACGUUCGAUCUUAUUUUGUUGGUUUCUAGGAUUGACGUAAUGAUUAAUAGGGAUAGUUGGGGGCAUUAGUAUUCAAUUGUCAGAGGUGAAAUUCUUGGAUUUAUUGAAGACUAACUACUGCGAAAGCAUUUGCCAAGGAUGUUUUCAUUAAUCAAGAACGAAAGUUAGGGGAUCGAAGACGAUCAGAUACCGUCGUAGUCUUAACCAUAAACUAUGCCGACUUGGGGUCGGAUGAUGUUAAUUUUUUAAUGACACAUUCGGCGCCUUACGGGAAACCAAAGUGUUUGGGUUC